Long non-coding RNA from Peromyscus eremicus (cactus mouse), 449 nucleotides. RefSeq lists it as uncharacterized. The record is from RefSeq and is a predicted model, not a curated record. NCBI's taxonomy places the organism in Eukaryota, Metazoa, Chordata, Mammalia, Rodentia, Cricetidae. The transcript has 5 exons.
CACAAAAUCUGAGUCUGGGUCACAUACUUUUUCAUGGAUGAGAGGGCUGGUAGACGGAACAUCUAAUACUGGCCCUGAAGAAGGUUGCUUCGACUUCUGUGCACUGGACACAUAGUGACAACAUUCAUAACGAUGAGAUAGUACAAGGAGUGGCAAGGGCUCUGUGUGUGAUGAAUGUGAAUCAUCCAAAGGUUCUCAGAAUGAGCAGCGACCUGCCUCUUGCUUCUGCCUCCCGAUGAGAUUGUCUGGACCAGAAGAUUGCUGGAGCUCCCCAGAAUAGGUCACACAUGGAGAUGAGCAGCUUUGCACCAUGGACCCCAAUUACCUUGGAUGGUGACACUCAAACCAGAAGUUUCUCGUGUGUUUGCAAUGGCAAUGAAAAUCCAGUAUGAUCAAGGGCAACGUGAAGCACUGUUUGUAAUCAGCAGAGUAAAAAAGUGAGUAACUUG